Long non-coding RNA from Lolium rigidum, 602 nucleotides. RefSeq lists it as uncharacterized. The transcript has 2 exons. NCBI's taxonomy places the organism in Eukaryota, Viridiplantae, Streptophyta, Magnoliopsida, Poales, Poaceae. The record is from RefSeq and is a predicted model, not a curated record.
GUUUUUCGUUUUUCUGCAUAACUACUGCAAAUUUCCUCACUAGGCCUUGAGUUUUUCAUCAGAUACACAAAAGUUACAUACAUAUCCUCUAUGCAAAGAUAACUAUAAAUAUCACAAAGUUAACCGAAUUAACUUACUAGUGAUUAAAUACUUCCGUUUGGAUGUUAAUUUGUUAAAGGAGUCAUUGGUUAGUCCAAGGAGUCUAUCUAGUGUGAUUGUGUGCAUCAAGGCUGAGGUUAGCUUGAGCAAAGCGGGAGUAUACAAAUUGUUCAUUUAUGGGUUAGCAAUUGCCUUGCAGCAACUACGGAAAUAUUUGCUUGGUGGCUAGGACGAUGCUUGACGCAGGAAAGGUGGUUCAGGGACACAUAUGGACAUUUUUGCGAUAUCCUGUCAAGAUCUCGACGUGGGCUGAUUUGAGCUGGUGCUUUCCAAAAGUAGUGGGAUGGAAUUGGCCAGGAUGGUUAGACAUAAUUGGGCUUCUUGUCCAGAUAGAAAAGCAACUCAUUUAGAUAUCAUUCCGUUGUUAUCCGUGUCAACAAAUAAUUCGAAAUACCUCGACUUUUUCAGAACAGGUCCGAGUCAAAUAGCAAUGAUUCGAAGCA